CAAAAAACAAAACAAAAACAAAAACAAAAACAAAAAUCCCUGUAAUGCUGUCAGUGUUCAAGUGAAAGAAAGAGUCAUAUAUCUUUCACUUUCAAUCAAAAGCUGGAAAUGAUUAAGCUUAGUGAGGAAGGCAUGCCAAAAGCCAAGACUGGCUGAAAAUUAGGCCUCUUGUUCCAGUCAGCCAAGUUGUAAAUGCAAACAGAAAGUUCUUGAAGAAAAUGGUUACUCCAGUGAACAUACGAAUGAUAAGAAGGCAAAACAGCCUUAUUGUUGAUAUGGAGAACGUUUUAGUGGUCUGGAUAGAAGAUCAAACCAAUCACAUUUCCUUAAGCCAAAGUCUAGUCCAGAGCAAGAUCCUACCUUUCUUUAAAUCUAUGAAGGCUGAGAGAGGUAGUUCCCUAAGAGAGAGGUCCCUGCUCUAUCUCACCAUCCCUUGUAUCUUGUCAUUUAUUUUGCUGAUAUAGAAGCAUAUGAAAAUAAGCAUACAUAAGCAUCUACAGAGAAUUAUAAGUAUUAUUAUUUCAAACAAACUUUCAUGUUAGAUUAAGUGGAAGAAAAACGUUUUUACUUUGCCUUCACUUAUUUCUUCUCCAAUGCUCUUCUUCCUUUAUGUAGAUCUGAAUUUCUGACCUUUAUUGUUUUCCUUUCCUCUUAAGAAUUUCUUUUCACUUUUCUUGCAAGAUAGGUCUUACUGGCAACACAUUCCCUCAAUUUUUGUUUGUCUGAGAAAGUCUUCAUAUUUCUUCUUCACUUUUGAGAGAUAAUUUUUUGGGGUAUAGAAUUCUAUGGUGUCCAUUUUUUCUCUCAACACUUUAAAUAUUUCACCCUGCUCUCUUCUUGCUUAUGUGGUUUCUGAGCAAAAGUCAGAUAUAGUUCUUAUCUUUGUUGCUAUCUUUUUCCUCUGGCUUCUUUCAGGAUUAAAAAAAAACUUAGAUUUCUGUAGUUUGAAAAUGAUAUGCCAUAUUAAUCAGGGUUUUCCAAAGUGACAGAUUAAAAUAAGAUUUUAUUUAUAUUUAUUAUAGAUAUUUAUUAUGGAAAUUGACUUGCGAUUCUGAAAGCCCACGAGUCUCAAAAUCUGUUGUCUGCAAGCUGGAGAACCAGGAAAGCUGCUGGGAUAGUUCAGUGUAAGCCCAAAGGCCUAAGAACCAGGUCAGCCCAUAGUGUACCUCCUGGUCAGGUCUGAGGGCCUUGGGUUGGGGAAAGGAUUGCUGGUGUAAGUCCUAUGGUUUUAAGACCCCAGGACCAGGAGCCUUGAUGUCUCAGGGCAAGAGAAGAGGGAUAUCUCAGAUCAAGAAGAAAGAGUAAUUCCCUCGACCUCUGCUUUUUUAUUCCAUUUAGGUCCUCAGAGGAUUAGAUGAUACCUACCCACUUUAGUGAGGUGAUCUUUGUUACCCAGUUUCCUGAUUGAGAUGCUAACUUCUUUCAGAAAUACACUCAUAGACACUCCAGAAACAGUAUUUUAUCAGCUAUCAGAACAUCCCUCAGCCCAGUCAAGUUUACAUAUAAAUUAACCAUCAUAUAUACCUAGAUGUAGGAUUUUUUUUUUUUUUUGUAUUUAUCCCACUUGGUAUUGUGUGUCUGAUAAUAGUUUGGGGGAAAUUCUCAGUCAUUAUUGUUUCAAAUAAUUCUCCUGUUUCCUUCCCUCUUCUCCUUCUGAAAUUCCUAUUCCAUGUAUGUUGUAGCUUUUGUAGUUCCACAGUUCUUGGAUCUGUUCUCUUUUUUUCAGUCUUUUUUUUUUUUUCUUUUCAGUUUGGUAUUUUUCUAUUAGGAUAUCUUCAAGCUAAGAGAUUCUUAUCUCAGAUAUGUCCAGUCUACCCAUAAGCCCAUACUUCACUUCUUUUAAAGUGUUUUUGAUCUCUAGCAUUUCUUUUUGGUUCUGAGAAUUUCCAUCUCUGUGCAUUUGUUUUUAUGUGCCAUCUACUUUAUCCAUUAAAGCAUUUAGUAUCUUAAUCAUAAUGUUUUAAAUUCCUGGUCUAAUAAUUUCAACAUCUCCAUCAUAUCUAAGUCUGGUUCUGAGGCUUGCCCUGUUUCUUCAAAUUGUGUUUUCUGACUUUCAGUAUGCCUUGUAAUUUGUUCUUAAUAACUGGACAUGAUGCAGUGGGUAAAAGGAACUGCUGUAAAUAGGCCUUUAAUAAUGUGGUGGUAAGGAGUGGUAGGAGGAGAACUGUUCUCUGUAGCCCCGUGAAUAGACCUCAGUCUUUUAGUGAGCUUAUGCCCCUGAAGUGUGAACCCCACAACCGCUUCAAGGUUCUUCCCCCACUUAGGUGAAACAGGAUGGCUAUUGUGGGCAGGAAUUGCGUAUUUCCCCUCCUCCAGGUCAUGUAGACUCUGAUAAAACCCCAGCAAGUUAGGCUGCAAUUAAAUAUUUGCUCCUGAUUGACAUAACUAAAAAAACAGUAAUUUUUUCUAGUGAUUCUAAGGCUGCUAUUAUUUUUGUCUAUGACCAGAUAUAUGAUAUAGAAAACUCAUUUUCUAUUAAUAAUUAACUGCCUCUUAGGCAUUUCCCAUCUGCAACCUGUCCGUGGUGUUAACUUUAUUUACUGCCAUGUAACGUGUCACUGCUCAUCACCUUCCGCCUUGUUGAGUCCUGUGAUUUGCAGGUUUUGAAUAUAUGCAUCAAGCAAAGUGGCUGAUCUGGGCUACAAGAAUGUGGGACUGAGGUAAGGAAGUGGAAGAUUAAACGAUUUGCCCAAAGUCUCACAGUAAUUUGUAGAGCUGAGAUUGAAAUUCAGGUGAAACUUCACAUAUCAUUUUCUUUUUAUCAGAUGGCAGUUUCUGGAUUUACUCUUGGUACCUGCAUACUUCUGUUGCACAUUAGUUAUGUGGCUAAUUAUCCCAAUGGAAAAGUAACACAGUCAUGCCAUGGAAUGAUUCCUGAACAUGGUCAUAGUCCACAGUCUGUUCCUGUUCAUGACAUUUCCGUGAGUCAGAUGACAUUCAGACCAGGAGAUCAGAUUGAAGUUACUUUGUCAGGGCAUCCAUUUAAAGGCUUUCUCCUAGAAGCGCGUAAUGCUGAGGAUCUGAAUGGCCCUCCUGUUGGCUCCUUCACGUUGAUUGACAGUGAAGUGUCACAGCUUUUGACUUGUGAAGAUAUACAGGGAUCAGCUGUGAGUCACAGAAGUGCAUCUAAAAAAACAGAAGUUAAAGUCUACUGGAAUGCUCCAAGCAGUGCUCCAAAUCACACACAGUUUCUAGUCACAGUUGUUGAGAAGUACAAAAUCUACUGGGUGAAGAUUCCUGGUCCUAUAAUUUCACAACCAAAUGCAUUUCCUUUCACAACACCUAAAGCUACAAUAGUACCUUUGCCAACAUUACCUCCAGCUUCCCACUUAACCAAACCAUUCAGUGCCUCAGAUUGUGGGAACAAGAAGUUCUGUAUUAGGAGUCCUUUGAACUGUGACCCAGAGAAGGAGGCUUCCUGUGUCUUCUUAUCCUUCACAAGAGAUGACCAAUCGGUGAUGGUUGAAAUGAGUGGCCCCAGUAAAGGCUAUUUAUCCUUUGCAUUGUCUCAUGACCAAUGGAUGGGUGAUGAUGAUGCUUAUCUGUGUAUUCAUGAAGAUCAGACUGUGUACAUCCAGCCUUCCCAUUUAACGGGGCGAAGUCACCCUGUAAUGGACUCCAGGGAUACCCUUGAGGAUAUGGCUUGGAGGUUGGCGGAUGGUGUUAUGCAGUGUUCUUUCAGAAGAAACAUUACCCUUCCUGGAGUUAAGAAUAGAUUUGAUCUAAACACAAGCUAUUACAUAUUUCUAGCAGAUGGUGCAGCUAAUGAUGGUCGAAUUUAUAGGCACUCUCAGCAGCCUUUGAUUACCUAUGAAAAAUAUGAUGUGACAGACUCUCCGAAGAACGUAGGAGGAUCCCAUUCUGUACUCCUUCUGAAGGUUCAUGGUGCCUUAAUGUUUGUGGCAUGGAUGACUACUGUUAGCAUAGGUGUACUGGUUGCCCGGUUCUUCAAACCAGUUUGGUCAAAAGCUUUCUUCCUUGGUGAAGCAGCUUGGUUUCAGGUGCAUCGGGUGCUUAUGUUCACCACAACUGCCCUCACCUGCAUUGCUUUUGUUAUGCCAUUUAUAUACAGGGGAGGCUGGAGUAGGCGUGCAGGUUACCACCCAUACCUCGGCUGUAUAGUGAUGACUUUGGCAGUUCUUCAGCCUCUUCUGGCAGUCUUCAGGCCACCUUUACAUGACCCAAGAAGGCAAAUGUUUAACUGGACUCAUUGGAGUAUGGGAACAGCUGCUAGAAUAAUAGCAGACUUAAAACAAUCUGGAAAAUGUGGGUGCAUCUCUCUUAACAAUUGGUCCAUUAUGCAGCCAUAAAAAAGAAUGAAAUCAUGUCUUUUGUAGCAACAUGGAUGCUGCUGGAAGUGAUUAUCCUACAUGAGUAAAUGCAGAAACCGAAAAUCACAUACCACACGUUCUCACUUAUAAAUUGGCAGCGAUGUUCCUGGGAAUGGAUUUACCAGGACUGAAUCUUCCUGAUUCACGGAAAACCUAUGCAAUGAUUGGAUUUGUAGCCUGGCAUGUAGGGACUGAGAUUG
Non-coding RNA from Chlorocebus sabaeus (green monkey), 4531 nucleotides. The record is from RefSeq and is a predicted model, not a curated record. Lineage: Eukaryota; Metazoa; Chordata; Mammalia; Primates; Cercopithecidae.